RNAcentral lists this ribosomal RNA (468 nucleotides) under uncultured bacterium. RNAcentral's name for it is "partial 16S ribosomal RNA". It matches the Rfam family "Bacterial small subunit ribosomal RNA", at positions 28 to 507 of the family's 1533-position model. The record is from RNAcentral.
GACGAACGCUGGCGGCGUGCUUAACACAUGCAAGUCGAACGGAAAGGCCCUGCUUUUGUGGGGUGCUCGAGUGGCGAACGGGUGAGUAACACGUGAGUAACCUGCCCUUGACUUUGGGAUAACUUCAGGAAACUGGGGCUAAUACCGGAUAGGAGCUCCUGCUGCAUGGUGGGGGUUGGAAAGUUUCGGCGGUUGGGGAUGGACUCGCGGCUUAUCAGCUUGUUGGUGGGGUAGUGGCUUACCAAGGCUUUGACGGGUAGCCGGCCUGAGAGGGUGACCGGCCACAUUGGGACUGAGAUACGGCCCAGACCCCUACGGGAGGCAGCAGUGGGGAAUAUUGCACAAUGGGCGGAAGCCUGAUGCAGCAACGCCGCGUGCGGGAUGACGGCCUUCGGGUUGUAAACCGCUUUCGCCUGUGACGAGGCGUGAGUGACGGUAAUGGGUAAAGAAGCACCGGCUAACUACGUG